This 450-nucleotide ribosomal RNA is filed under the name uncultured bacterium. RNAcentral's name for it is "bacterial SSU rRNA". It matches the Rfam family "Bacterial small subunit ribosomal RNA", at positions 328 to 792 of the family's 1533-position model. The record is from RNAcentral.
AUACCAGACUCCUACGGGAGGCAGCAGUGGGGAAUAUUGGACAAUGGGGGGAACCCUGAUCCAGCGACGCCGCGUGAGUGAAGAAGUAUUUCGGUAUGUAAAGCUCUAUCAGCAGGGAAGAAAGAAAUGACGGUACCUGACUAAGAAGCCCCGGCUAACUACGUGCCAGCAGCCGCGGUAAUACGUAGGGGGCAAGCGUUAUCCGGAUUUACUGGGUGUAAAGGGAGCGUAGGCGGUUUAGCAAGUCAGAAGUGAAAGCCCGGGGCUCAACUCCGGGACUGCUUUUGAAACUGCGUUGCUAGAUUGCGGGAGAGGCAAGUGGAAUUCCUAGUGUAGCGGUGAAAUGCGUAGAUAUUAGGAGGAACACCAGUGGCGAAGGCGGCUUGCUGGACCGUGAAUGACGCUGAGGCUCGAAAGCGUGGGGAGCAAACAGGAUUAGAUACCCCGGUA